Molecule: ribosomal RNA, 253 nt
Filed under: uncultured bacterium
Lineage: Bacteria
Description: partial 16S ribosomal RNA
Rfam family: Bacterial small subunit ribosomal RNA
Source: RNAcentral
UACAGAGGGGGCAAGCGUUGUUCGGAAUUACUGGGCGUAAAGGGCGCGUAGGCGGCCUUCUAAGUCGAACGUGAAAUCCCCGGGCUCAACCCGGGAACUGCGUCCGAGACUGGAAGGCUCGAAUCCGGGAGAGGGAUGUGGAAUUCCAGGUGUAGCGGUGAAAUGCGUAGAUAUCUGGAGGAACAUCGGUGGCGAAGGCGGCAUCCUGGACCGGUAUUGACGCUGAGGCGCGAAAGCCAGGGGAGCAAACAGG